This 503-nucleotide ribosomal RNA is filed under the name uncultured fungus. Its description in RNAcentral is "eukaryotic LSU rRNA". The stretch from base 162 to 315 matches the Rfam family "5.8S ribosomal RNA". Lineage: Eukaryota; Fungi. The record is from RNAcentral.
ACAGAGAACGCCGCCCUCACGGGUGACUCUCCAACCCUAUGUUUAAUACACCUUUGUUGCUUUGGCGGGCCGCUUCGGCCACCGGCCCACGCUGGUGAGCGCCCGCCAGAGGACCCCCAACUCUGAGUUACAGUAUCGUCUGAGCACUAUUUAAUAGUUAAAACUUUCAACAACGGAUCUCUUGGUUCUGGCAUCGAUGAAGAACGCAGCGAAAUGCGAUAAGUAAUGUGAAUUGCAGAAUUCAGUGAAUCAUCGAAUCUUUGAACGCACAUUGCGCCCUGUGGUAUUCCGCAGGGCAUGCCUGUUCGAGCGUCAGUACAACACUCAAGCUCUGCUUGGCCUUGAGCCCCGCCGGCAACGGCAGGCUUUAAACUCAGUGGCGGCGCCCGUCGGGUCCUAAGCGUAGUAAUACUCCUCGCUAUAGGGCUCUGGCGGAUGCUGGCAGCAACCCCAAACUUCUCAAGUUUGACCUCGGAUCAGGUAGGGAUACCCGCUGAACUUAA